CCGAACGCUGGCGGCAUGCCUAACACAUGCAAGUCGAACGAGACCUUCGGGUCUAGUGGCGCACGGGUGCGUAACGCGUGGGAACCUGCCCUUAGGUUCGGAAUAACUCCCCGAAAGGGGUGCUAAUACCGGAUAAUGUCUUCGGACCAAAGAUUUAUCGCCUUUGGAUGGGCCCGCGUUGGAUUAGCUAGUUGGUAGGGUAAAAGCCUACCAAGGCGACGAUCCAUAGCUGGUCUGAGAGGAUGAUCAGCCACACUGGGACUGAGACACGGCCCAGACUCCUACGGGAGGCAGCAGUGGGGAAUAUUGGACAAUGGGCGAAAGCCUGAUCCAGCAAUGCCGCGUGAGUGAUGAAGGCCUUAGGGUUGUAAAGCUCUUUUACCCGGGAUGAUAAUGACAGUACCGGGAGAAUAAGCUCCGGCUAACUCCGUG
RNAcentral lists this ribosomal RNA (432 nucleotides) under uncultured bacterium. Its description in RNAcentral is "partial 16S ribosomal RNA". It matches the Rfam family "Bacterial small subunit ribosomal RNA", at positions 30 to 507 of the family's 1533-position model. The record is from RNAcentral.